Long non-coding RNA from Lolium rigidum, 619 nucleotides. RefSeq lists it as uncharacterized. Lineage: Eukaryota; Viridiplantae; Streptophyta; Magnoliopsida; Poales; Poaceae. The record is from RefSeq and is a predicted model, not a curated record. The transcript is spliced from 2 exons.
AGUGAUUUUGUUGCAUUACUAAUAGCACCUUCUUAAAUAGGAAUGGAUGGAUCUGAGCAUGGGCAUAUUUUGUAGAUGCACUUAACAUGCAAGUAUUUUAGAGGAUCGGAUAAUGCGCUUCUGUUUGUGUGGACUGAUAGGCUUGUGUAAUUUCUGAAGUAGAAUUGAAAUUUGAGAGUUUCCCGAAACUCCUUGUUAAAACUUUACCAUUAGGAGGUGUACUAUUGACCUUCUGUUUGUGCUUUUCUGCAUUUUUUUUUUGUACAUUACAGGCUCACGAGAAUUGGGAAGCUAAAUUUGCAAAACUGUGAUUAAGACGGCAUCCCACAGUUCCCUAGGAGAAAGAUUGAAUCAUACUUGAAGAGAAAGAUAAAUCAACUUCAGGGAUGUUUGCCGAAUCAUUUCCAUUUUCGCAUGGGGUUGUUUUGAGUGUCAUUCUUGAGCCUGAACAUGUGCUUUUCCUAUUUUGACAUAUCUGGGCAGUACUAGGGAUGGACUUAGCACAGUGAGGUACGUGUGAGGGGAAAUGGUAUGAAUUUGUUGGAACUGUCUACUACAUAUGGAUUCGUGUGAGAUACAUCUGGUUCAUUUGAAUGAUAAUUUAGUGAAAGUUGUAUGA